Molecule: long non-coding RNA, 2859 nt
Organism: Vicia villosa (hairy vetch)
Lineage: Eukaryota; Viridiplantae; Streptophyta; Magnoliopsida; Fabales; Fabaceae
Exons: 3
Source: RefSeq, a predicted model, not a curated record
CUAACACAUAUCUAAAUUGAUUUUCCCUUCUAUUGUAGAAGAACAUUGAAUAUGCUAAUCUUUUAAGAUAUUCACUCGAUCUUGAUCUGAAAAUCUUGCUAGACGUAAAGAUUUUUCUUCAAGCUUCUAUUCCCAAGCAAAAUGUACUAUGCACUAUCGGUUCCUUUCUAAAGCCUUUGUUCUACCCAGAAUGAUUGAAAAACUCCUAACUUCAUUUCACAACAACCUUUAUACAUUUCUACUAAAACCUUUAAUGGAGUAUGCAUCUUUCUUCAUAGAUAGAGUAUCAUAGGUAUAUCCCUUAAUCACUCUUUGAAUCCAUCUUUCUUCUUUGAUCACGGUCUUUCAAGAUGUAGCACUUGCUACCAAAGACAAGUACGUAUUUAAUAUUUGGUUUUCUUCCUUUCCAAAGCUCAUACAGAGUAGCUUUGGUUCUAGAUUAAACGGUCACACGAAUAUGCAUGUGACAAGCAGUGUUCAUAGCUUCAUCCCAAAAUUGGUAAAAAGAUUCUUUGCAUGCAACAUAACUCUAGUAACUUCUUGCAGGGUUCUAUUCUAGCAUUCUACAACUUCAUUUUGCUGAGGUGUGAUGGGUGCUUAAAAAUUCAUGACUAGUCCCUUAAGUAGAACAAAAUUCAGAGAACUUGGAAUUCUCAAAUUCCUUGCCAAGGUCACUCCUUAUCUUUAUGAUUUCACUUCCAUUUUCUUUUUGAAUACGUAGGAAUAGCUCUUUGAAAACAUCAAAAGUGCCAAAUUUUUCUCUGAUGAAGUUAAUCCACGUGUAUCUUGAAUAAUCAUCCACACAUCAAAAACAUAUAUUUUCCCCCAAGAGUUUCCACGUGCAUAGGCCCCAUGAGGUUCAUAUGAAGUAACUCAAGAACUUUUGAGGUGGUCAGAUGUUGGAGCUUCUUGUGGGGCAUCUUGGUUUGCUUACCUAUUUAGAAAUCUCCAUAUAUUUUGUCUUCUUCAAUUUUCAACUUUGGAAAACCCCUGAUGGCUUCUUCAUAUGUGAUGUUCUUCGUGCUCUUGAGUUUAAGAUGGCCAAGUUUUUGGUUUCAUAACUUAGUUUCAUCAAUCUUGAAUAUCAAACAUGAUGAGGGUUGAGAUAUCCACAUAUAGAAAUUGUCAUUGGACUUGGAACCCUUCACUAACACUUCUUGCUCUUUGCUAGUGAAAAUACAUUCAAUCUUGUUGAAUUUCACAUUCAGACCUUGAUCACAUAGUUGAAUGAUGUUAAUCAAUCUUGCAGUUAGACCUUUUACCACCAGCACAUCCUCAAGGCAAUGGAAAUAUGGACUGGCUAGUUUACUUAUGCCCUGAAUUCCUCCACUUGCUCUAUAAAAAAAUUAACAUAAAUAUUGGAGUAUGGUUUCAACUCUUCAAGAUAUGUCUUUUAUAUAGUCAUGUUCCUGGCCAUAGACCAUCAAAAUUCCAAUCUUCUCUUGAGGAAACUCUAAGUGAUGUAUGAGUUAUGAGACUUGUGGCUAUUACUUUGGGCUUCAUUUCUUAAACCUUCUGGCCCUAUUUUUUAAAUCUUUGGUUGACUAUAGGAUCGAGGAUAUCCAUAGAGUAUAUAACACUAGGGCCUUAUGUGUCCAUAUGUUCCACAAUGAUGACACCUCGAAGAAAAAUUCUUGCAACUUCUGUAUUGAAGGGACACGUGUUGAGAAGGUUGUUGAGACAUGUGGUCCAUUAUCAUAAACUUAGUUUUCUUCUCAGGAGUGACAAACUUCUUAGAAGGAAUUUUUAUUUUCUUGUUCAUGGAGCUAGAAUCAAAUCAUAUUCCCUUCCUAUUUCUUGACAUCUUCCUAACUUCCAAGACUUCAUCUAGCAUACUUGAACCAUUGUUCAACAUACGUACAAAAUUUCCAUAUGUUUAAGCUUGGAAUUUAACAAAGUAUGCACGAUUCUUCUCCCGUGGUGUAAAAGAGCCUAUAUGUUUCAACUAACUCUUCUUUAGUCACGUCUUUAUCACUAGACUCGCCUUCAGACUCAUACUUUCCAAUGUAGGCCAUUACUUUGUUGGUCUUCUUAUUUUCUCUUGUUCUGAGGAAUAAUGUCAGACACGUUGUCUGGAACAUUUGUCCACCAUCUUCUAUCCAAAUUUCUUAAAGAUUUGUUGAACUUUCUUCCAAAAAAAGGCUAUAGCAUAUGAUAGGCUUUCUUCGGUAUCCUUCUCACCUUGAUCCUCAUUUUCUUGAAUGUUGGAUACGAAAGACACACCUUUCUUCAUCUUCUUUUAUCUUCCAUUAAUGGCCACUUCAAAUUUUUGAACAGGGGCAAUGAGCUCGUUAACCUUCAAGGUGCUUAAAUCUUGAGCUUCUUCAAUAGUUGUUACCUUCAUGUCAAACUUCUUAGGCAAAGAUCUGAGGACUUUUUUACCAUACUCUUUUAUGACAUUUUCUCUCCCAAAGCAAAUUAUUUGUUGUCUAUAUCAUGAAUACGAAUGUCAAAGUCAGAUAUGGAUUCAUCUUCCAUCAUUCUAAAAUUUUCAAAGUUAGUUGUGAGGAGUUACAACCUUGACAUACACACUUUUGAUGUGUCAUCAUGUGCAGUGUUGAAAAUAUUUCAUGCUUCUUUGCCUUUAGUAUAUGUGUUAAUCAAUCUUAACAUGUUCUUGUCUACACUAUUGAAUAUAUUAUUCAUGGAUUUGUUGUUUCCAAGAGCUUUAUCAUAUUCAUUUUUGGACGAUUCAGCUUCAUGCUUUAAGCUUGUUGUACCAUCUUGAGAAGUGAUCACAAGAUGUUUACAACAUUUAGCCACAACCUUCCAAAUUUUUUUGUAUGUGGAUUUAAUAAAUGCAAUCAUCUUAGUUUUCCAAUAAUCAUAGUUUGUGCCAUCUGAAAUAGGUGAUUUGUU